AGAGUUUGAUCAUGGCUCAGGAUGAAUGCUGGCGGCGUGUCUAAGGCAUGCAAGUCGAACGAAUGAUUCAGGGUAGCAAUACUCUGGAUCGUUAGUGGCAAACGGGUGCGUAACACAUUGGUAACCUGCCUCGAAGUCGGGCAUAACCAGCCGAAAGGCUGACUAAUUCCACGAUGGUCAUGAGGGGACGCAAGUCAUUCUCAUGUAAAGUCGCAAGACGCUUCGAGAGGGGCCUAUGGCCUAUCAGCUAGUUGGUGAGGUAAUGGCUCACCAAGGCAAUGACGGGUAUGGGGUGUGAGAGCACGACCCCACUCACUGGGACUGAGACACUGCCCAGACACCUACGGGUGGCUGCAGUCGAGAAUAUUCCCCAAUGGCCGAAAGGCUGAGGGAGCGACGCCGCGUGCAGGAAGAAGGGCUUCGGUCCGUAAACUGCUUUUGUCAGGGACGAAUCAUGACGGUACCGAAGAAUAAGAG
Molecule: ribosomal RNA, 477 nt
Filed under: uncultured Parcubacteria group bacterium
Lineage: Bacteria
Description: bacterial SSU rRNA
Rfam family: Bacterial small subunit ribosomal RNA
Source: RNAcentral